UCGGGAAUUUUGGGCAAUGGGCGAAAGCCUGACCCAGCAACGCCGCGUGAAGGAUGAAGUAUUUCGGUAUGUAAACUUCGUAAGAAUAGGAAGAAUAAAUGACGGUACUAUUUGUAAGGUCCGGCUAACUACGUGCCAGCAGCCGCGGUAAUACGUAGGGACCAAGCGUUGUUCGGAUUUACUGGGCGUAAAGGGCGCGUAGGCGGUUUGUCAAGUCAGUUGUGAAAUCUCCGAGCUUAACUCGGAACGGUCAACUGAUACUGUCAAACUAGAGUACAGAAGGGGCAAUCGGAAUUCUUGGUGUAGCGGUGAAAUGCGUAGAUAUCAAGAGGAACACCUGAGGCGAAGGCGGGUUGCUGGGCUGAUACUGACGCUGAAGCGCGAAAGCUAGGGUAGCAAACGGGAUUAGAUACCCCUGUAGUCCCUGAGCGGGCUGGCAAGGCGCAU
RNAcentral lists this ribosomal RNA (447 nucleotides) under uncultured bacterium. RNAcentral describes it as "bacterial SSU rRNA". It matches the Rfam family "Bacterial small subunit ribosomal RNA", at positions 355 to 825 of the family's 1533-position model. The record is from RNAcentral.